RNAcentral lists this ribosomal RNA (584 nucleotides) under uncultured ciliate. RNAcentral describes it as "bacterial SSU rRNA". It matches the Rfam family "Eukaryotic small subunit ribosomal RNA", at positions 45 to 550 of the family's 1831-position model. Lineage: Eukaryota; Ciliophora. The record is from RNAcentral.
UAAGCCAUCCAUGUNUAAGUAUAAAUAUUAUNCAGCGAAAAUGCGAAUANAUCAUUAAAACAGUUAUAGUAUAUUUGAUAAGUANACNNACANGGAUAACGGUAGUAAUUAUAGAGGUAAUACAUGCCAAGAAGCCGGACUUUUUGGAAGGGCGGUAUUUAUUAGAUAUCAAACCUACAUGGAUAACCGUAGUAAUUCUAGAGCUAAUACAUGCCAAGAAGCCCGACUUUUUGGAAGGGCGGUAUUUAUUAUAUAUCAAACCAUUACCCGCAAGGGUUCUGUGAUGAUUCAUAAUAACUGAACGAAUCGCAGGUUUCUGCGAUGAAUCAUUCAAGUUUCUGCCCUAUCAUCUUUCUAUGGUAGUGUAUUGGACUACCAUGGCAGUCACGGGUAACGGAAAAUUAGGGUUCGAUUCCGGAGAGGGAGCCUGAGAAAUGGCUACCACAUCUAANGAAGGCAGCAGGCGCGUAAAUUACCCAAUCCUGAUUCAGGGAGGUAGUGACAAGAAAUAACAACUCGGGUCCCUUCAUGGGAUUGCAAGAUUGCGAUGANAACAAUUUAAACCACUUAUCGAGGAACAAUUG